AGGAGAGUUUGAUCCUGGCUCAGGACGAACGCUGGCGGCGUGCCUAACACAUGCAAGUCGAACGGAACUACUAGGAAGGAUCUCUUCGGAGAAACGGAAUUUUAGUUUAGUGGCGGACGGGUGAGUAACGCGUGAGUAACCUGCCUUUGAGAGGGGAAUAACGUUCUGAAAAGAACGCUAAUACCGCAUAACAUAUACUGAUCGCAUGGUCGGUAUAUCAAAGAUUUUAUCGCUCAAAGAUGGACUCGCGUCCGAUUAGCUUGUUGGCGGGGUAACGGCCCACCAAGGCGACGAUCGGUAGCCGGACUGAGAGGUUGAACGGCCACAUUGGGACUGAGACACGGCCCAGACUCCUACGGGAGGCAGCAGUGGGGGAUAUUGCGCAAUGGGGGCAACCCUGACGCAGCAACGCCGCGUGAAGGAUGAAGGUUUUCGGAUUGUAAACUUCUUUUGUCAGGGACGAAAUCUGACGGUACCUGACGAAUAAGCUCCGGCUAACUACGUGCCAGCAGCCGCGGUAAUACGUAGGGAGCAAGCGUUGUCCGGAUUUACUGGGUGUAAAGGGUGCGUAGGCGGCUAAGCAAGUCAGAUGUGAAAUCUAUGGGCUCAACCCAUAAACUGCAUUUGAAACUGCAUAGCUUGAGUGAAGUAGAAGCAGGCGGAAUUCCCCGUGUAGCGGUGAAAUGCGUAGAGAUGGGGAGGAACACCAGUGGCGAAGGCGGCCUGCUGGGCUUUAACUGACGCUGAGGCACCAAAGCGUGGGUAGCAAACAGGAUUAGAUACCCCGGUAAUCCCCUGG
Molecule: ribosomal RNA, 799 nt
Filed under: uncultured Bacillota bacterium
Lineage: Bacteria; Bacillati; Bacillota
Description: bacterial SSU rRNA
Rfam family: Bacterial small subunit ribosomal RNA
Source: RNAcentral